CCCAAGAGACUGGGAUAACACCUGGAAACAGAUGCUAACACCGGAUAACAACACUAGACGCAUGUCUAGAGUUUGAAAGAUGGUUCUGCUAUCACUCUUGGAUGGACCUGCGGUGCAUUAGCUAGUUGGUAAGGUAACGGCUUACCAAGGCAAUGAUGCAUAGCCGAGUUGAGAGACUGAUCGGCCACAUUGGGACUGAGACACGGCCCAAACUCCUACGGGAGGCAGCAGUAGGGAAUCUUCCACAAUGGACGAAAGUCUGAUGGAGCAACGCCGCGUGAGUGAAGAAGGGUUUCGGCUCGUAAAGCUCUGUUGGUAGUGAAGAAAGAUAGAGGUAGUAACUGGCCUUUAUUUGACGGUAAUUACUUAGAAAGUCACGGCUAACUACGUGCCAGCAGCCGCGGUAAUACGUAGGUGGCAAGCGUUGUCCGGAUUUAUUGGGCGUAAAGCGAGUGCAGGCGGUUCAAUAAGUCUGAUGUGAAAGCCUUCGGCUCAACCGGAGAAUUGCAUCAGAAACUGUUGAACUUUGAGUGCAGAAGAGGAGAGUGGAACUCCAUGUGUAGCGGUGGAAUGCGUAGAUAUAUGGAAGAACACCAUUGGCGAAGGCGGCUCUCUGGUCUGCAACUGACGCUG
RNAcentral lists this ribosomal RNA (633 nucleotides) under uncultured bacterium. RNAcentral describes it as "bacterial SSU rRNA". It matches the Rfam family "Bacterial small subunit ribosomal RNA", at positions 129 to 748 of the family's 1533-position model. The record is from RNAcentral.